CCUGCGUCCAACACCGGACGACCGUAGUCCCACCACAGCCAACAACGAAUUGCACGCCCCGGCCCUGUGGGUAUUGCACCGUCUAUUGUGUCUAUUGCGUCUGGUGCAACCCAGGCCGCAGGUGUGGCUGAUUGAUUUCGAAAGUAGUUCUACCUUCCGCUUAUCGAAUAAUUGUUGUCCCUUCUGCAUUACUUCGUCGAUUUCGUAAGCUGCAGUGUCUGUAUUUUUAAAAAUACGAUUGUUUCCCUCGUCUGUAUUUUACCAUGUGAUUUCUUUCAUUGCACAGGUCUAUAAUUGUAUUGAAAUUUCGAUUGCUUAUUGUAUUGACUUUAAUAAUGUAAAGUUUCCUGAAUUAAUG
This 358-nucleotide long non-coding RNA is filed under the name Hordeum vulgare. RNAcentral's name for it is "long non-coding RNA (HVUL_LNC021143)". Lineage: Eukaryota; Viridiplantae; Streptophyta; Magnoliopsida; Poales; Poaceae. The record is from RNAcentral.